UUUAUAUAGGAGGAGGGGCAUCAUUUACGGGACAAGGAGGAUUUCAGGAACAAAGUUCAGGACUUCAUCAAAAACUAUGCAAGAUGAUGUCUCUGUUGAGCCACACUCACAUGCAUGUGACUUUGCAGAUGUACGUCGAUCCAGACUGCAACAGAGACAAAAUCUCAAACUAUUAAAACAUACUUGGGGAAAGAAGAAUGUUAAAAUCCAUAAUGAAUGACACCGCAAGUCCCUGAUCAAGAUUUGGGAGGGAGGGAGGGGGGUGAGGCCUUACUGUCCAUUUCCGAUGGCUUUUUUUUGUUUGUUUUUUGAAGCGGGCACUCAUGCAGGUUCUUUCUAAAUCAAGUUUGCUUUUACCCCCACCCACAAAAAAAAAAAAAAAGAAAGAAAAAGAAGUACAAAGAUGGUGAUCAUGAAAAUGAGGACGUAUAACCUCUCUGAUGUCACCUCCUAUGCUAGUGCCUCUGUGUUUUUUGCCUCAUAUAACUGGACAUACGUUGUAAGCCAACUUCUGCGGCCUGCUUCUUCUCAAAACUUGACAACCUACAAACACUGAGAUUAAUUUGUUCAUAAGUGAUGUCAUAGAAAUCCCAAAGUUCCAUUGGUUCAUUCGCUCUGGGGGAGGAGUCGACCAAUGGAGGAAUCGCAAAAUAUAUAGCACUGAUGUCUCGCAGAAUACGUCCCAGCGGAUUCUGUAAAGCCAUUUCAUGUAACUCCUCCCUUCACACCUCUCUUCAUGUAAAAUAACUGCAGUUAUCAGACUACUCUGUAUCACAUGUGCACAUGAGCAAAUAUCAAAAUAUCUGUGUGUGCCUCUGAAUGAGUUAUGAAACUGUUUCAGUUCAAAUAUGUGAGGUGUUUGCGGGUGAAUCUCACGAUUGUCCGGGUCCCAUUUUUAUGGAAGCCAGUUAACACAAUGAAAUAAAAGUAAAAAAUGUAAAUGUGACCUUUUAUCUAACAAUUCUGACUUUAUAUGCACAAAAAUAUAUAAACUCAGAAUUGUGAGAAAGUCAGAAUUCUGAAUUACUUUGUUGUAAUUCCAAGUUUAUAUCUUGCAAUUUUGACUUUUUCCCCUGAAUUCUGUGAAUUCUCACAAUUCUAUUUUUAUUUAAUUUUUUGCCACGGAAUAAUAAUAAAAAAAGUAAUUGAAAGUGAGUUUAUAUGUCAUAAUCUGGACUUUUAUUCUUAGAAUUGAGAGUUUAUCUUGCAAUUGUGAGUUAACAUCUCAAUUCUAAGAAAAAAGUCUGAAUUAUGAGGUUAAAGACAUAAGAACAUAAUUGUAAGAAACGCAGAAUUGUGAGAAAAAAGUUUGGAUUGUAAAAUAAAAAGCCACAAUGUCCUUAUUAUUAUUUUAAUCCCGUGGCAGAAACAAGCUUUCCUACAUUUUACCCACAAAUCAAAGGGUAAAAACUCUAUUUUGCUCUAUAUGUGCUGAUAAAGAUUUUGAGUUGAGACAUUAUUUUUUGAUAAAUUAAGCACAUUUUCCCCACAUUUAAACAAUAUAUAACUUUUCCUGCAUUGGGGCAGUGAGCAUUUUGUCAAAACUUAAUUAUCAUCAAAUAAUAAAAAAAAGCAAAAUAUUAUUUCCUUGUACUUUUACAAGGAAAUAAUUUCGGGUUUCGUGAGAUUCACUCUUGCUCUCGUAUGCAUUUUCGUCAGUGUAUACACGUUCAGCUUUACCGAUGUGUGCAUGUACACAAGAAUACCUGUAUGCUUGUACUGUGUUUGUGUGAAAGUGUGUGUGUGUUUGAGCGGGAGAGACUGGGUUUUUAAUUCAUGUCUGAUUUGGUAGCAUGCACUGGGCUACUGAACUGCUCAGCCGUAAAGCCUGUUCAAUUAGUGUGGAUUUACUUUAUUUAAAUUGAUUUCUUUUUCUCCUUAGAGGUAUAUAUCCAUUUGUAAAGUAUAUUAAAGAAGAAUUCUACCACAAA
Long non-coding RNA from Cyprinus carpio (common carp), 1931 nucleotides. RefSeq lists it as uncharacterized. The record is from RefSeq and is a predicted model, not a curated record. The transcript is spliced from 2 exons. Lineage: Eukaryota; Metazoa; Chordata; Actinopteri; Cypriniformes; Cyprinidae.